RNAcentral lists this long non-coding RNA (864 nucleotides) under Heterocephalus glaber (naked mole-rat). Its description in RNAcentral is "lncRNA (ENSHGLG00000032828.1)". Lineage: Eukaryota; Metazoa; Chordata; Mammalia; Rodentia; Bathyergidae. The record is from RNAcentral.
CCUCGACUGGAUGAAAGGGCAGAGAAGGCAGAGGCAGACGAGCACUCCGGUUCACGCACCAUCCGAGUGGGUCCAAAAAAGGUUUCACUUUGUAGCCCAGAUUGGUCUCAAACUCACAAUCCUUCUGCCUCAGCCUCCCCAGUGGUGGGAUUACAGGCAUGCAACACCACGUCUGGCUCAAUUCCCUCACUUCUUCAAUUUCUCCAUGAGAAAGAGGAAGAGGACACAAAGUGAGGUAGAAUUGGAUACGCAGAGUCAGCUUUACGUGUUUCUUCUCUAUUGUCAUCGUUACUCAUCACAACCAUUAAGAGGCACCUAAUUUCCCAGAGCAAAGCACUUGGACAAAAGCAACUGAAUAUAAAUCUACAGAAUAAAGAGAUUUUUUGAAUAAACAGAUUAGACAAAAAUGUGAGUGGAUAACAUCACAUCCUUGAAAGGCAAAGGAGUUUAAGAGAAGAUAGGCAUGAAGCUCAGACUCUCGGUGUUUCACUUCCCUCUUAACUCCUGCCAUAUGAGGAUGAAGUACAAAGGUUAAAGGAUGUCCAGUGUGGGAUGACGCUGCUUUCCGGUGGUUGUUGAGGUUGAUGCAGUCAUUGAGUACUGUCCAGGUGCCAGACCCCUCCCUCAACAGUGUUCCACGAGGUUCCCAGAGUGCUGCUGUUAGCUGUGAGUGUCCCAUGUCCCCCCUCAAAAUCCUAACUCAUAUUUCCUGCUAUUUACGACCCAUGAAUGGUCUCUCUGCCACAUUAUGCUAACCAUGUCAAAGCUGAACUUGUUACCCUUCCAAACACUCUUCCUUCCCUUCCCCAAGUUCCUGGUUCUGAUCAAACUGCUCGUCUUGCCCCACUCCUGUCCUCUUGCUCC